RNAcentral lists this ribosomal RNA (369 nucleotides) under uncultured organism. RNAcentral describes it as "bacterial SSU rRNA". It matches the Rfam family "Bacterial small subunit ribosomal RNA", at positions 526 to 896 of the family's 1533-position model. The record is from RNAcentral.
CGGAGGGUGCAAGCGUUGUCCGGAUUUAUUGGGUUUAAAGGGUGCGUAGGCGGUCUUUUAAGUCAGUGGUGAAAUCCUGCAGCUCAACUGUAGAACAGCCAUUGAUACUGAAAGACUUGAGUACAGACGAGGUAGGCGGAAUUUAUGGUGUAGCGGUGAAAUGCAUAGAUACCAUAAAGAACCCCUAUUGCGAAGGCAGCUUACUAGGCUGUAACUGACGCUGAGGCACGAAAGCGUGGGGAUCAAACAGGAUUAGAUACCCUGGUAGUCCACGCCGUAAACGAUGAUUACUCGAUGUUCGCGAUAUACAGUGAGCGUCCAAGCGAAAGCGUUAAGUAAUCCACCGUGGGAAGUACGAUCGCAAGAUUG